GAGACUUGUAAGUAAACCAGCAGACAAACAGCCUUUAGAUGUGAAAUGGAUAUACAGAAAGAAAGCCGAAAAUAAAUUUAAAGCUAGGUGGAAAUAACACCAGAUCGUGAAGUGGGCGCCAUAUUGUUUGGGGCGGUCGGAGCAGUGGGCACAGCGGCGGCAGCGACGAUGUGCGCGCGGGACAGCUAGCGGCGGGGCUCGGCGCAGCUCGGCGCCCGCUCGCCGCUCUGGGCCGCGCUCACCAGCCAGCCGCUGGACGAGGACGACGCUGAUGAUGAUAUUACCGUCGACGAUAGCUAACAGCUCGACGAGCGCUCCGUCACCGACAUCGGCGAGCGCAUGAAGUUAUUCUUGGACAUUCCCCUUAGAUUUUAGUUGUGUCACGACUGUGUUUUCAUUACCUACGAAUUUUGAGACGAUCGUUAGUAAAGUUAAGGCAAUUUUAUUGCCUUGUAAAUAGUGUCGCUAUAAAAAUGUAGCUAUUUACAUUUAAAAGCCAAAAUUAGGUUAAAUAAUGCAUUGUCGUUUGUACCUUUAGGUACCCAUUAAAUUGUUACCUAGAUAAUUGUUCAUAUAAGAUUUAGACCUGCACAUAGAAUGAUCUCAGCAUAACAUCAUUAUAUAUUAGAUUACUUUUAAAUCACUCGAAUUUAUACUUACUUAUUUUGUUCUAUGAUUAACUACAAUAGAAAACUCAUAAUUACACGGGGACAGUUAAAUAUUUCUUUAAGUUACUUCAAAUUACAGAAAUUGGUAAAAUAUAAAAGUUAUUUUUUUUACGUGUUUCUAUGACUGUAUAUUAGAAUUUGUAUACAAUGUAAAUAAAUUUCCUAAAAUUAUCACCUACCUACUAUAAAUGUAAAAUAUGAGUCUGUGUUUUAUGACACUAUAACGUACUCCAAGUAAAGACAAAAGUAUUCAAUCUUACGUGGUCUUCAUGUUAUUUAUUAUUAAAUGACUUAUAUAAGAAUAAUAUAAAAUUAAGGAGUAAAAAAGACCAACUUCAUAUAGGUAAUUUGCAUGUUAUGUAGAAAGGUGUGUAUAUAAUAUUAAUGCACUGUAUCUAAAAAUAAAUACUUUAGAAAUGUUUUUAUAACAAUUGCUGGCUGAUAUCAAUUUACAUACUCGUAAUUACCAUCGAGCUUUAACAACCUAGGAUAGGUAGGGAGAUUAAUUUAGAUCAAAUUAUUCUUACGCUGUCUUUACUGUUUAGUGUAAAAAUAAAUAAUUAUUUGUAAACAAUAUAUUAUGCAAAUUAAUAAA
Molecule: unclassified non-coding RNA, 1263 nt
Filed under: Manduca sexta (tobacco hornworm)
Lineage: Eukaryota; Metazoa; Arthropoda; Insecta; Lepidoptera; Sphingidae
Description: uncharacterized LOC115441868, transcript variant X2
Source: RNAcentral